GCCAAGAUGGAAAGUCAGUUUUUGUAUGAAGUGGUGAAUAACUUGUUAGACUGUGACUACGCUUUUGACUACUGGGGAAAAGGCACAAUGGUCACCGUCACGUCAGCCACUUCAACUGCACCCACUGUGUUUCCUCUGGUACCAUGUGGCGCUGAAAGUGGAGAUAUGGUCACUCUUGGCUGCCUUGCCACCGGCUUUAACCCUUCUGCGGUGACUUUCUCGUGGACAAAAGGCGGCACUGCCUUGACAGACUUCAUCCAGUACCCUGCAGUACAGAAAGGCAAUGCUUAUACUGGAGUCAGUCAAGUCAGAGUGAGGAGACAGGACUGGAAUGCACAACAGACUCUUCAAUGUGCUGUGAAUCACACUGCUGGGACUGUACAGGCUCCUUUCACAAAACCACAGGUGGAUAAAACUGACAGAGGCAAAACAGUAGCAGAUGUUGUCCCUACUGCAGAUCCGACAAACAAGCCAACAAUGGCAGUCUACAUCCUCCCACAGCAGCACACUGACCAACUUAACCCUAAAGAUCAAAUCACUCUGGUGUGUCUCGUCACCAGUACUGUGAAUGAGAUGUAUAAAAUCGAAUGGUCAGAAAUGUCUGGAGGGACAGUUGGACCUUAUGCUACAGUCACUGAUCUCCCUGCACAGCAGAGCAAAAAUGACCGAAAAUGGCGAAGUAUGAGUCUUUACACCACCAGUAAGGAAAACUGGGACAAAAACGCUCCAACCAAAAUGUUCAUCUGCCAUGUCCAGUCUAAAAAUAUUUCAAAACAUGUGUCCAACGCCCAUGAUGAUUUUUGUGAUCUGACUUGGGACGAUGUCACCGCUGAAGAGGAUUUUAGCAGCCUGUGGUCCACAGCUUCCUCCUUCAUAUUCCUCUUCAUACUCUCUCUCUUCUAUAGCAUAAUUAUCAGCCUUCUUAAGAUAAAGAGAUCAUAACAAAUGGGAUGGAAUUGGUGCGCUUCAUUUCUACUCUAUUUUUAAAAUCUAUUUUUCAUUUUCUUUUUAUGCACAUAAUCAUUUAUUUGAUACAU
Molecule: non-coding RNA, 1037 nt
Organism: Pelmatolapia mariae (spotted tilapia)
Lineage: Eukaryota; Metazoa; Chordata; Actinopteri; Cichliformes; Cichlidae
Source: the annotation of a RefSeq genome assembly